RNAcentral lists this long non-coding RNA (283 nucleotides) under Phoenix dactylifera (date palm). Its description in RNAcentral is "long non-coding RNA (PDAC_LNC016808)". The record is from RNAcentral. Lineage: Eukaryota; Viridiplantae; Streptophyta; Magnoliopsida; Arecales; Arecaceae.
GUAGAACCAAUAUGGAUACAUUGGAAUGCAAAAUACAAAAUUCAUGCUUAAAAGUUGAAUUGGAAGAGAUAAAAUUGAAGAAUAUUGGAUUUAAGAUAAUUGCCCUUCUGGAAAAGAAAGGGGGAGUCAAAAAGAACUUAGCUUUCAAUUAUCUUUAUACCUGUACAUCUGAGCAAAUACUGUGUAUAUAUUUAAAUUUCGAAUUUUGCAUAUACUCAGUGUUUUGUCAUCAUCAAAAAGGUGGAGAUUGUUGACCCCCUAAUGGAUUUUGAUGAAUACAAAA